Molecule: microRNA precursor, 70 nt
Organism: Takifugu rubripes (torafugu)
Lineage: Eukaryota; Metazoa; Chordata; Actinopteri; Tetraodontiformes; Tetraodontidae
Product: microRNA 3074
Source: Ensembl
CUUCCUGUGCCUACUGAGCUGAUAUGCAGUUGUACAGAACCACUGGCUCAGUUCAGCAGGAACAGGAGUC